This 116-nucleotide ribosomal RNA is filed under the name Klebsiella oxytoca. Lineage: Bacteria; Pseudomonadati; Pseudomonadota; Gammaproteobacteria; Enterobacterales; Enterobacteriaceae. The record is from RNAcentral.
CCUGGCGGCAGUAGCGCGGUGGUCCCACCUGACCCCAUGCCGAACUCAGAAGUGAAACGCCGUAGCGCCGAUGGUAGUGUGGGGUCUCCCCAUGUGAGAGUAGGGAACCGCCAGGC